Molecule: ribosomal RNA, 733 nt
Filed under: uncultured bacterium
Lineage: Bacteria
Description: bacterial SSU rRNA
Rfam family: Bacterial small subunit ribosomal RNA
Source: RNAcentral
UAACGCGUGAGGUAACCUACCUUAAAGUUCUGGAUAACACUUGGAAACAGGUGCUAAUACCGCAUAACCAUCAAAACCGCCUGGUUUUGAUGUUAAAGAUGGUUCUGCUAUCGCUUUAAGAUGGACCCGCGGCGUAUUAGCUAGUUGGUGAGGUAAUGGCUUACCAAGGCAAUGAUACGUAGCCGAACUGAGAGGUUGAUCGGCCACAUUGGGACUGAGACACGGCCCAAACUCCUACGGGAGGCAGCAGUAGGGAAUCUUCCACAAUGGACGAAAGUCUGAUGGAGCAACGCCGCGUGAGUGAAGAAGGUUUUCGGAUCGUAAAACUCUGUUGCCAGAGAAGAACGUGUGUGAGAGUAACUGUUCACGCAGUGACGGUAUCUGACCAGAAAGUCACGGCUAACUACGUGCCAGCAGCCGCGGUAAUACGUAGGUGGCAAGCGUUGUCCGGAUUUAUUGGGCGUAAAGGGAACGCAGGCGGUCUUUUAAGUCUGAUGUGAAAGCCUUCGGCUUAACCGAAGUCGGGCAUUGGAAACUGGGAGACUUGAGUGCAGAAGAGGAGAGUGGAACUCCAUGUGUAGCGGUGAAAUGCGUAGAUAUAUGGAAGAACACCAGUGGCGAAAGCGGCUCUCUGGUCUGUAACUGACGCUGAGGUUCGAAAGCGUGGGUAGCAAACAGGAUUAGAUACCCUGGUAGUCCACGCCGUAAACGAUGAAUGCUAAGUGUUGGAGGG